This 489-nucleotide ribosomal RNA is filed under the name uncultured bacterium. Its description in RNAcentral is "partial 16S ribosomal RNA". It matches the Rfam family "Bacterial small subunit ribosomal RNA", at positions 30 to 506 of the family's 1533-position model. The record is from RNAcentral.
AUUGAACGCUGGCGGCAUGCUUUACACAUGCAAGUCGAACGGCAGCGGGGUAGUGCUUGCACUACUGCCGGCGAGUGGCGAACGGGUGAGUAAUAUAUCGGAACGUACCGAGUAAUGGGGGAUAACCAAUCAAAAGAUUGGCUAAUACCGCAUAGGUCCUGAGGGAGAAAGCGGGGGAUCGCAAGACCUCGCGUUAUUCUGGCGGCCGAUAACUGAUUAGCUAGUUGGUGGGGUAAAGGCCUACCAAGGCGACGAUCAGUAGCGGGUCUGAGAGGACGAUCCGCCACACUGGGACUGAGACACGGCCCAGACUCCUACGGGAGGCAGCAGUGGGGAAUUUUGGACAAUGGGGGCAACCCUGAUCCAGCCAUGCCGCGUGUAUGAAGAAGGCCUUCGGGUUGUAAAGUACUUUUGUUAGGGAAGAAAAGGGAAGUGCUAAUACCACUUUUUGCUGACGGUACCUAAAGAAUAAGCACCGGCUAACUACGU